Non-coding RNA from Callithrix jacchus (white-tufted-ear marmoset), 4154 nucleotides. NCBI's taxonomy places the organism in Eukaryota, Metazoa, Chordata, Mammalia, Primates, Cebidae. The record is from RefSeq and is a predicted model, not a curated record.
CGGGAUUGUUCUCAACUUUGCACCUUUACACAGCAGUUUCGAAGACAAAGGGGCUUUUCAGCUAGGUUUGGUUUACCGUUCCCUCCUCCCAGGCCCAAGCUUGGUGCCCAAUGUCCUCAGCAAUGACUGGGACGUCCCUACUUUGCUCCUUUUUCUUGGGGCCACUGCCCACCCCUAGGUUGCCCACUGUCCCUCCUAGAGAGGUGGAUGGCGGUGACAUUCCAGGGAGAACAAAGGGAGGAGUGAGGGGGCAAAGACGGCCUUCUAAAGUCCCACCCUGGAAAGACAUCCCACCAUGCCCGCGAGGCACCCUCAGGCUAUAGCCUUCGACAAGGGAGGCCUUUGCCCCGCCCCUUGGCAUGGGGGAGGGGUGUGGUGCCACCGGCGCUCUCUGAUUGGAUGCUGCCUCACGGUUCCAAGCCGCGAUUGUGCAGUGGGUGGCCGUCGGCACCUGCGUGCCCAAAGUGGGGAACCGGCCCUGGGGAGUUGCUGGAAGUUGGAGUCGGGGGAGCGGUCACUGGCAGCAAGCGUGGGCGGCGGCCAGUCGAAAAGAUGAGAGCAGUCCCUAGUCUAAGCCUUUCCGUCGCUCUCCGGCACCACUAGUACCAUGGACUCCACCCUGCCGCGGCCCCUUGGCGACGCGGUGCAGCUGCCACUCGACCAGCUGGAUUCAGUGGGAAACCAGUCAGAAGUGGGACGCCUCUGAACAAACUGUAUACUGUGUAGCCGCCAGCUUCUGCUUUCUCGAGGCAGAACGCUGGCCCUCGGUGCCUCUUUCUGCUUCCCCUUGUUCAGACCACUGAGGACUGCCACUGUCCUGUCUGACUCCUGUUUUGAUGGUAAACCAGAGGAGAGGUGUAUUAUGCAUCUCUAAGUCCUUCAAUUUCAUCACCUGAACACGGGGCUAUUAAUUAGCACCGGGCAGAUUGGAGGCUGAGGUGUGGGUUGACCCACAGCACCUAUCAUGGAAUAAGCAUUCAGGGCCUGUCAGUCACAGUCACAACACCUGUUAAGGUGUUGCGGGAACCCAGGUCUCCUGCUGCCCUUCUAAUGAGACUGUGGGACAUGAUGCAGCCUUCUCAGCCCCAGGUAAGACUCCUUGAGCAGGGGAAGGCCCAAGACCCUGCUCAGCCUGCUGGGUGACCUUCAGCCCUGACACCUACCUGGUUCCUGCCAUCUCAGCCGAUAAUCAGGUCCCAGUGGCUGCCUCCCAAAUGCUCUGAGGACACCCUGCACUGUCCCUCUGGGAAUCCCCAUUACAAUGAGACUUCAAGUCUUCUCCAGGAGGUGACAUCUGCCUCCCCAGCCCUCAGACCUGGGCUGGCCUUGUGAUGUUGUAGUAGAAUUUGGUGAAGUGACUGAGCGAGUGCCAGUUCUAAGCCCAGGCCUUAAGAGGCCUCGCCACACUUCCUCCCUUGAACCCCUUACCAGCCUCAUGAGAACCAACUCUGCUCGCCUUUGGGCUGGUGCCACCUGGGGUUGGAGGGAGCCUGGUUUUAGCUCAGGAUGUCUGAGCAAAGCUGACAGCCAGCCCCCGAGCAGGUUAGAGAGCCCAGCCAAGGCCAGCAGAUCCGCCUGCUCACCCUACAGAUCUUGAACAUGUGGAAGACCAGAAUGCCCAGGUAACCCACAGCCUUGUGAGCAAGGACCAAUGCUUGCUUGAUGCCACUGAGUUUCGGAGCAGUUUUUUACCAUCUUGAAUCAAGAUCUAAUGGAGGCAGCCCCAACCUUCAACAACCUGCAUCGCUCUUGGGGGACUCACAUGCAUGGGUGACCUGCGCCCUCUCAGAUUCUUCAUGCCCCAUGCCACCCAGUCCUAUACUCUGCUUCCAUCUUGGGGUAUGACAGGUGGCACCCCAUAGCUGAGUCCUCGCAACAGUCUGCACACCCUGGGUCUUCUUCCUUUGUCCCCCAGGAACCCCCAGUCCUUCCUGCAAAGCAGAAACAGGAGUGACACUGGCUCAAACGGCUGCGUCAUCAGCUCCAGCCUCUACAAGUGCGCCAGGCACUGGGGUCUUUCUUUGUCACCCAGGUUGGAGUGUAGUGGUAUGAUCUCUGCUCACUGCAGCCUCUACCUCCCAGGCUCAAGUGAUCCUCCUGCCUCAGCCUCCCAGCUGGGACUACAACAAGCAUCACCACACCUGGCUAAUUUUUAAGACUUUUUGUAGAGAUGGGGGUCUCACUAUGUUGCCCAGAAUGGUCUCAAUGCUGCUGGAGCUCCUGGGCUUAAGCAAUCCUCCCACAUCGACCUCCCAAAGCACUGGGGUUACAGGUGGGGGCCUCACCUGACUGCCUGGUUCUGGCCAUGGACAUCAAUGACCAAGCUGGCCUGAGAAUCACAGGUUGGCAGCAGCAAGGAGCUCAUCUCUUCUGCUGCCCAGACUCCUAGUAACAAAAGCUGAAGAGGGAGCAGACUUUGAGUCCUGCUCAGCAUAGAGACUAGAGUGACAUCACCAGAAAGGUAGACAUUUGGAAGGACACCAGCGACACAGAGAAGAGGAGGCCGGAGGUCCGCAAGGCAUCCAGCUCCUGGCCUUGGAUACCCAGGACUCUCUCCAGAAAGGCUCCCUCCCAGCCAUGGAACUUGAUGGUCCUUGAGUUCCUGAGGAUGGAGCUGGAGCUGACCCGGGACCACUGCCCCAGGGAGGCAGCUUCUGAUGCCCGGAGAACAGAGGUUGCCCCUGAGCCCACCUGGGUAUGGCGCCAUCAGAAAGCCUACUUGGAGGUCAGCUCAUCGACACUGCCUGGGUGAAAAAAGGACACCAGAUCUUGUUUUCAUUCAUGUUCGAAGCCAACAUUGCUGUCAGUGCAUGCCCAAGCCACCGGUAGCCUAGAAAUAUUUAGACCUGGUUUAUUAACCAUACACCUGCCAGACCCAACCCAGCCAAAACAUGAAAUCGACUGGGUGCAGUGACUCACACCUGUAAUCUCAGCACUUUGGGAGGCCAAGGCAGGUGGAUCUCCUGAGGUCAGCAGUUUGAGACCAGCCUGGCCAAUGUGGUGAAACCCCAUCUCUACUAAAAAUAUAAAAAUGAGCCGGGCGUGGUGGUGCACACCUGUAAUCCCAGCUACUCGGGAGGCUGAGGUGGGAGAAUCAUUUCAACACAGGAGGUGGAGGCUGCAGUGAGCCGAGAUUGAACCACUGCACUCCAGCAUGGGCAGAGCAAUGAGACUCCAUCUCAAAAAACAACAGUAACAACAACAAAGACACAAAAUCAAACCCCCACCCUUUUUUUUUUUUUUUUUUUUUUUGAGAUAGAUUGGGACUUCCUGUGUUCAGGCUACAGUGCAGUGGUACAAUUAUAGCUCACUGCAGCCUCUUACUCCCAGGCUGAAGCCUCUCACCUCAACCUUGUGAGUAGCUGGGAUUACAGGUGCAUGCUACCAUGCCCAACUAAUAUUUGUGUGUGUGUGUGGAGAUGGGGUCUCACCAUGUUGGCCAGGCUGGCCUCAAACUCUGGGAUUCAAGUGAUCCUCCCAUCUCAGCCUUCCAAAGUACUGGGAUUAGAGACCUGAGCCUCUGUUCCUGGCCAAAACCUAAUUACACAUUCAUGAAUGACUGAGGGCGUGAGCUUCUGUGUUUUUUAACAAUGAAACAGAUUAUUUCUUUGGUAUAACUUUGCUGGGGAUGCUGUAACAAACAAGACAAAUUUGUUGUCUCAGGCCAUGGCUCAUGUCUGUAAUGCCUGUACUUUGAUAGCAUGAGAGAUCUCUUGAGGUCAGGAGUUCGAGACCAGCCAGGCCAAUAGGAUGAAACCCUGUCUCUACUGAAAAAAUACAAGUCCAGGAGUGGUGGCUCACACCUGUAAUCCUAGAACUUUGGGAGGCUGAGGUAGGCAAAUCAUGAGGUCAGGAGUUUGAGACCAGCGUGGCCAACAUGGUGAAACCCUGUCUCUACUAAAAAUACAAAAAUUAGCUGGGUGUGGUGGCACACGUCUGUAAUCUUAGCUACUCAGGAGAAUGAGGCAGGAGAACUGCUUGAACCCACAAGGUGGAAGCUGCAGUAAACUGAGAUCGUACCACUUUACUCCAGACUGGGGGACAGAGCAAGAAUCCAUCUCAGAAGAAAAAAAUACCGAGGCAUGGUUGCAUGUGCCUGUAUUCCCAAGCUGCUCAGGAGGGUGAGGUGAAAGUAUUGCUUGAGCCUGGGAGAA